GACUAAGCGUACACGGUGGAUGCCCUGGCAGUCAGAGGCGAUGAAGGGCGUGCUAAUCUGCGAUAAGCGCCGGUAAGGUGAUAUGAACCGUUAUAACCGGCGAUACCCGAAUGGGGAAACCCAGUGUGAUUCGUCACACUAUCAUUAACUGAAUCCAUAGGUUAAUGAGGCGAACCGGGGGAACUGAAACAUCUAAGUACCCCGAGGAAAAGAAAUCAACCGAGAUUCCCCCAGUAGCGGCGAGCGAACGGGGAGGAGCCCAGAGCCUGAAUCAGCAUGUGUGUUAGUGGAAGCGUCUGGAAAGGCGCGCGAUACAGGGUGACAGCCCCGUACACAAAAGCGCAUGUGCUGUGAGCUCGAUGAGUAGGGCGGGACACGUGGUAUCCUGUCUGAAUAUGGGGGGACCAUCCUCCAAGGCUAAAUACUCCUGACUGACCGAUAGUGAACCAGUACCGUGAGGGAAAGGCGAAAAGAACCCCGGCGAGGGGAGUGAAAAAGAACCUGAAACCGU
RNAcentral lists this ribosomal RNA (511 nucleotides) under Salmonella enterica subsp. enterica serovar Derby. RNAcentral's name for it is "partial 23S ribosomal RNA". It matches the Rfam family "Bacterial large subunit ribosomal RNA", at positions 1 to 559 of the family's 2925-position model. RNAcentral also lists the same sequence under 3 other names. The record is from RNAcentral. Lineage: Bacteria; Pseudomonadati; Pseudomonadota; Gammaproteobacteria; Enterobacterales; Enterobacteriaceae.